Molecule: ribosomal RNA, 478 nt
Filed under: uncultured bacterium
Lineage: Bacteria
Description: partial 16S ribosomal RNA
Rfam family: Bacterial small subunit ribosomal RNA
Source: RNAcentral
GACGAACGCUGGCGGCGUGCUUAACACAUGCAAGUCGAGCGAUGAAGUUCCUUCGGGAAUGGAUUAGCGGCGGACGGGUGAGUAACACGUGGGUAACCUGCCUCAUAGAGGGGAAUAGCCUUUCGAAAGGAAGAUUAAUACCGCAUAAGAUUGUAGUGCCGCAUGGUACAGCAAUUAAAGGAGUAAUCCGCUGUGAGAUGGACCCGCGUCGCAUUAGCUAGUUGGUGAGGUAACGGCUCACCAAGGCGACGAUGCGUAGCCGCCCUGAGAGGGUUAUCGGCCAGAUUGGGCCAGAGGCACUGCCCAGACGCCUACGGGAGGCAGCAGUGGGGAAUAUUGCACAAUGGGGGAAACCCUGAUGCAGCAACGCCGCGUGAGUGAUGGCGGUCUUCGGAUUGUAAAGCUCUGUCUUCAGGGACGAUAAUGACGGUACCUGAGGAGGAAGCCACGGCUAACUACGUGCCAGCAGCCGCCGUAA